This 446-nucleotide ribosomal RNA is filed under the name uncultured Microbacteriaceae bacterium. RNAcentral's name for it is "bacterial SSU rRNA". It matches the Rfam family "Bacterial small subunit ribosomal RNA", at positions 28 to 486 of the family's 1533-position model. The record is from RNAcentral. Lineage: Bacteria; Bacillati; Actinomycetota; Actinomycetes; Micrococcales; Microbacteriaceae.
GACGAACGCUGGCGGCGUGCUUAACACAUGCAAGUCGAACGAUGAAGCUGGAGCUUGCUCCAGUGGAUUAGUGGCGAACGGGUGAGUAACACGUGAGCAAUCUGCCCUUGACUCUGGGAUAACUGCGGGAAACUGUAGCUAAUACCGGAUACGACACCUUGGGGCAUCCCGAGGUGUGGAAAGAAUUUCGGUCAAGGAUGAGCUCGCGGCCUAUCAGCUAGUUGGUGAGGUAAUGGCUCACCAAGGCGACGACGGGUAGCCGGCCUGAGAGGGUGACCGGCCACACUGGAACUGAGAUACGGUCCAGACUCCUACGGGAGGCAGCAGUGGGGAAUAUUGCACAAUGGGCGCAAGCCUGAUGCAGCAACGCCGCGUGAGGGAUGAAGGCCUUCGGGUUGUAAACCUCUUUUAGCAGGGAAGAAGCGAAAGUGACGGUACCUGCAGAA